RNAcentral lists this ribosomal RNA (253 nucleotides) under uncultured bacterium. RNAcentral describes it as "partial 16S ribosomal RNA". It matches the Rfam family "Bacterial small subunit ribosomal RNA", at positions 524 to 776 of the family's 1533-position model. The record is from RNAcentral.
UACGUAGGGUGCGAGCGUUUAUCGGAAUUACUGGGCGUAGAGCGUGCGCAGGCGGUUCGCCAAGUCAGGUGUGAAAUCCCCGGGCUUAACCUGGGAAUUGCGCUUGAAACUAGCGGGCUUGAGUGUGGCAGAGGGGGGUGGAAUUCCACGUGUAGCAGUGAAAUGCGUAGAGAUGUGGAGGAACACCGAUGGCGAAGGCGGCCCCCUGGGUCAACACUGACGCUCAUGCACGAAAGCGUGGGGAGCAAACAGG